ACUGCACUGCAAGCACUUCUUAC
This 23-nucleotide microRNA is filed under the name Rattus norvegicus (Norway rat). Its description in RNAcentral is "rno-miR-17-2-3p". Its record names the gene rno-miR-17-2-3p. The record is from miRBase by way of RNAcentral. Lineage: Eukaryota; Metazoa; Chordata; Mammalia; Rodentia; Muridae.